GUGUCCGUGGUGUAAUGGUAGCAUGCUGGUUUCCAACUCCAGUGAUUCGGGUUCAAGUCCUGACGGGCAUGCCA
Molecule: transfer RNA, 74 nt
Filed under: bacterium
Lineage: Bacteria
Description: tRNA-Trp
Rfam family: tRNA
About the family: Transfer RNA (tRNA) molecules are approximately 80 nucleotides in length. Their secondary structure includes four short double-helical elements and three loops (D, anti-codon, and T loops). Further hydrogen bonds mediate the characteristic L-shaped molecular structure. tRNAs have two regions of fundamental functional importance: the anti-codon, which is responsible for specific mRNA codon recognition, and the 3' end, to which the tRNAs corresponding amino acid is attached (by aminoacyl-tRNA synthetases). tRNAs cope with the degeneracy of the genetic code in two manners: having more than one tRNA (with a specific anti-codon) for a particular amino acid; and 'wobble' base-pairing, i.e. permitting non-standard base-pairing at the 3rd anti-codon position.
Source: RNAcentral